RNAcentral lists this transfer RNA (64 nucleotides) under Philopona vibex. RNAcentral's name for it is "tRNA-Tyr". The record is from RNAcentral. Lineage: Eukaryota; Metazoa; Arthropoda; Insecta; Coleoptera; Chrysomelidae.
GAUGAAAUGGCUGAAAUGAGGCAAUAAAUUGUAAAUUUAUUUAUGAAUGAAAAUUCUUUUAUCA